RNAcentral lists this ribosomal RNA (444 nucleotides) under uncultured bacterium. RNAcentral describes it as "partial 16S ribosomal RNA". It matches the Rfam family "Bacterial small subunit ribosomal RNA", at positions 338 to 795 of the family's 1533-position model. The record is from RNAcentral.
CCUACGGUGGGCAGCAGUGGGGGAUAUUGGACAAUGGGGGGGAACCCUGAUCCAGCGACGCCGCGUGAGUGAAGAAGUAUUUCGGUAUGUAAAGCUCUGUCAGCAGGGAAGAAAGCAAUGACGGUACCUGACCCAGAAGCCCCGGCUAACUACGUGCCAGCAGCCGCGGUAAUACGUAGGGGGCAAGCGUUAUCCGGAAUUACUGGGUGUAAAGGGAGCGUAGACGGCUGUGCAAGUCUGGAGUGAAAGGCGGGGGCCCAACCCCCGGACUGAUCUGGAAACUGUAUGGCUGGAGUGCAGGAGAGGUAAGCGGAAUUCCUAGUGUAGCGGUGAAAUGCGUAGAUAUUAGGAGGAACACCAGUGGCGAAGGCGGCUUACUGGACUGUAACUGACGUUGAGGCGCGAAAGCGUGGGGAGCAAACAGGAUUAGAUACCCUUGUAGUC